This 700-nucleotide ribosomal RNA is filed under the name Microbacterium paraoxydans. Its description in RNAcentral is "bacterial SSU rRNA". It matches the Rfam family "Bacterial small subunit ribosomal RNA", at positions 193 to 906 of the family's 1533-position model. Lineage: Bacteria; Bacillati; Actinomycetota; Actinomycetes; Micrococcales; Microbacteriaceae. The record is from RNAcentral.
CUGCGUUUGGAAAGAUUUUUCGGUUGGGGAUGGGCUCGCGGCCUAUCAGCUUGUUGGUGAGGUAAUGGCUCACCAAGGCGUCGACGGGUAGCCGGCCUGAGAGGGUGACCGGCCACACUGGGACUGAGACACGGCCCAGACUCCUACGGGAGGCAGCAGUGGGGAAUAUUGCACAAUGGGCGAAAGCCUGAUGCAGCAACGCCGCGUGAGGGAUGACGGCCUUCGGGUUGUAAACCUCUUUUAGCAGGGAAGAAGCGAAAGUGACGGUACCUGCAGAAAAAGCGCCGGCUAACUACGUGCCAGCAGCCGCGGUAAUACGUAGGGCGCAAGCGUUAUCCGGAAUUAUUGGGCGUAAAGAGCUCGUAGGCGGUUUGUCGCGUCUGCUGUGAAAUCCCGAGGCUCAACCUCGGGCCUGCAGUGGGUACGGGCAGACUAGAGUGCGGUAGGGGAGAUUGGAAUUCCUGGUGUAGCGGUGGAAUGCGCAGAUAUCAGGAGGAACACCGAUGGCGAAGGCAGAUCUCUGGGCCGUAACUGACGCUGAGGAGCGAAAGGGUGGGGAGCAAACAGGCUUAGAUACCCUGGUAGUCCACCCCGUAAACGUUGGGAACUAGUUGUGGGGUCCAUUCCACGGAUUCCGUGACGCAGCUAACGCAUUAAGUUCCCCGCCUGGGGAGUACGGCCGCAAGGCUAAAACUCAAAG